Molecule: microRNA, 18 nt
Filed under: Callorhinchus milii (elephant shark)
Lineage: Eukaryota; Metazoa; Chordata; Chondrichthyes; Chimaeriformes; Callorhinchidae
Description: eshark_NOVEL_238
Source: RNAcentral
CCAAGGUCGUGGGUUCGA